This 591-nucleotide ribosomal RNA is filed under the name Hanseniaspora opuntiae. RNAcentral describes it as "eukaryotic LSU rRNA". It matches the Rfam family "Eukaryotic large subunit ribosomal RNA", at positions 50 to 655 of the family's 3401-position model. Lineage: Eukaryota; Fungi; Ascomycota; Saccharomycetes; Saccharomycodales; Saccharomycodaceae. The record is from RNAcentral.
ACGGAGGAAAAGAAACCAACUGGGAUUACCUUAGUAACGGCGAGUGAAGCGGUAAAAGCUCAAAUUUGAAAUCUGGUACUUUCAGUGCCCGAGUUGUAAUUUGUAGAAUUUGUCUUUGAUUAGGUCCUUGUCUAUGUUCCUUGGAACAGGACGUCAUAGAGGGUGAGAAUCCCGUUUGGCGAGGAUACCUUUUCUCUGUAAGACUUUUUCGAAGAGUCGAGUUGUUUGGGAAUGCAGCUCAAAGUGGGUGGUAAAUUCCAUCUAAAGCUAAAUAUUGGCGAGAGACCGAUAGCGAACAAGUACAGUGAUGGAAAGAUGAAAAGAACUUUGAAAAGAGAGUGAAAAAGUACGUGAAAUUGUUGAAAGGGAAGGGCAUUUGAUCAGACAUGGUGUUUUUUGCAUGCACUCGCCUCUCGUGGGCUUGGGCCUCUCAAAAAUUUCACUGGGCCAACAUCAAUUCUGGCAGCAGGAUAAAUCAUUAAGAACGUAGCUACCUCGGUAGUGUUAUAGCUUUUUGGAAUACUGCUAGCUGGGAUUGAGGACUGCGCUUCGGCAAGGAUGUUGGCAUAAUGGUUAAAUGCCGCCCGUCUU